RNAcentral lists this ribosomal RNA (164 nucleotides) under Anthoxanthum odoratum. Its description in RNAcentral is "5.8S ribosomal RNA". It matches the Rfam family "5.8S ribosomal RNA". Rfam says of the family: 5.8S ribosomal RNA (5.8S rRNA) is a component of the large subunit of the eukaryotic ribosome. It is transcribed by RNA polymerase I as part of the 45S precursor that also contains 18S and 28S rRNA. Functionally, it is thought that 5.8S rRNA may be involved in ribosome translocation. Lineage: Eukaryota; Viridiplantae; Streptophyta; Magnoliopsida; Poales; Poaceae. The record is from RNAcentral. RNAcentral also lists the same sequence under 2 other names.
CACACGACUCUCGGCAACGGAUAUCUCGGCUCUCGCAUCGAUGAAGAACGUAGCGAAAUGCGAUACCUGGUGUGAAUUGCAGAAUCCCGCGAACCAUCGAGUCUUUGAACGCAAGUUGCGCCCGAGGUCUUUUGGCUGAGGGCACGCCUGCCUGGGCGUCACGC